Non-coding RNA from Capsicum annuum, 106 nucleotides. Lineage: Eukaryota; Viridiplantae; Streptophyta; Magnoliopsida; Solanales; Solanaceae. The record is from Rfam.
ACCUUAUGGUUGGUACAUUGCAUGAGCUUCUCAUUAAUUCUCUCCCAUACCUUAUAUAGAGGUUCUCCAUUCAAUUGAAAAAAAUUUGUGAUUUCAUCAUAUAAUU